CAGUAGCCGCGGUAAUACGUAGGUGGCAAGCGUUGUCCGGAAUUAUUGGGCGUAAAGCGCGCGCAGGUGGUUUAAUAAGUCUGAUGUGAAAGCCCACGGCUCAACCGUGGAGGGUCAUUGGAAACUGUUAAACUUGAGUGCAGGAGAGAAAAGUGGAAUUCCUAGUGUAGCGGUGAAAUGCGUAGAGAUUAGGAGGAACAACAGUGGCGAAGGCGGCUUUUUGGCCUGUAACUGACACUGAGGCUCGAAAGCCAGGGGAGCGAACGGGAUUAGAUACCCCAGUAGUCCCUGUCUCUUAUAC
RNAcentral lists this ribosomal RNA (301 nucleotides) under uncultured bacterium. Its description in RNAcentral is "partial 16S ribosomal RNA". It matches the Rfam family "Bacterial small subunit ribosomal RNA", at positions 509 to 807 of the family's 1533-position model. The record is from RNAcentral.